RNAcentral lists this non-coding RNA (755 nucleotides) under Coleoptera sp. ACP-2013. The record is from RNAcentral. Lineage: Eukaryota; Metazoa; Arthropoda; Insecta; Coleoptera.
AAAAGUUUAAUUUUAGCUUUAGUAUUUACUUAAUCUUUACUUUUUAUGUAAGUCUUUGCUUGUUUAUUUUAAAUAAUAGUUUGUGGUAGCAGUGAUUAAUUUUAAUUUAUUUAGUGAUCUAAGAUUUAGGAAUAGAUUUAUGUUCUAACUUAAUUUGUGCCAGCAGUUGCGGUUAUACAAAUAGGGCUUGUAAAUAUUUUUGGUUAGUAGUUAAAAUUUAAUUUAUUAAAGUAAAUUAUUAUUAUUAUUAGGUGAAAUUUCUAUUUUAAUUUUUUCUUUUUAAUUUAAGCUAUUAAACUUAGUCUGAAAACUAGGAUUAGAUACCCUAUUAUUUUUAGUGUAAAUUUUAAUACCGGGUUAGUAUUAGUUAUGUUCUUGAAAACAAAAGGAUUUGGCGGUAUUUUAGUCUUUUCAGAGGAACCUGCCCUGUAAUUGAUAAUCCACGAUUAGUUAAACUUUAGUUUUGUUUGUAUAUCGCCGUGGUUGAUUUUUUUAGAAAAAGGAUAAUGGUCAGAAUUCUUUAUUAAGAAGGAAGUCAGGUCAAGAUGCAGCUUACUAGAGUAGAGGUGGGUUACAAUAAAUUUAUUUAAAUGGUUAAAGUUUUUAAAAUAUUUUAUAAAGUGGAUUUGAAAGUAAAUUUUUAAUUUUUUAAGAGUUGAGUUAGCUCUAAAAUAUGUACAUAUCGCCCGUCACUUCCAUAAAAAUGGAAUAAGUCGUAACAAAGUAGAUGUACUGGAAAGUGUAUCUAGAAAGAC